Molecule: ribosomal RNA, 738 nt
Filed under: Buttiauxella sp. 110518_136_C_B7
Lineage: Bacteria; Pseudomonadati; Pseudomonadota; Gammaproteobacteria; Enterobacterales; Enterobacteriaceae
Description: bacterial SSU rRNA
Rfam family: Bacterial small subunit ribosomal RNA
Source: RNAcentral
UUAUGGCUCAGAUUGAACGCUGGCGGCAGGCCUAACACAUGCAAGUCGAGCGGUAACACAGGAGAGCUUGCUCUCUGGGUGACGAGCGGCGGACGGGUGAGUAAUGUCUGGGAAACUGCCCGAUGGAGGGGGAUAACUACUGGAAACGGUAGCUAAUACCGCAUAACGUCUUCGGACCAAAGAGGGGGACCUUCGGGCCUCUUGCCAUCGGAUGUGCCCAGAUGGGAUUAGCUAGUAGGUGGGGUAAUGGCUCACCUAGGCGACGAUCCCUAGCUGGUCUGAGAGGAUGACCAGCCACACUGGAACUGAGACACGGUCCAGACUCCUACGGGAGGCAGCAGUGGGGAAUAUUGCACAAUGGGCGCAAGCCUGAUGCAGCCAUGCCGCGUGUAUGAAGAAGGCCUUCGGGUUGUAAAGUACUUUCAGCGAGGAGGAAGGCGUUGCGGUUAAUAACCGCAGCGAUUGACGUUACUCGCAGAAGAAGCACCGGCUAACUCCGUGCCAGCAGCCGCGGUAAUACGGAGGGUGCAAGCGUUAAUCGGAAUUACUGGGCGUAAAGCGCACGCAGGCGGUCUGUCAAGUCGGAUGUGAAAUCCCCGGGCUCAACCUGGGAACUGCAUUCGAAACUGGCAGGCUAGAGUCUUGUAGAGGGGGGUAGAAUUCCAGGUGUAGCGGUGAAAUGCGUAGAGAUCUGGAGGAAUACCGGUGGCGAAGGCGGCCCCCUGGACAAAGACUGAC